UCCCGCCGUACCGCGCCGGCUACAGCACUAGACCCCAGGGCGAGGCCCAGGCUCGGCGGGCGCUGGAGGAAAUGACGAAACUGAUGCUCAGAGAUCAACGGGCGCACCCAAGGAGGAACUGACUGCUGGCAGACAGACUCCAGGACCUUAUCUCUUUACCACUACACCAGGAGGAGGCUUAACUGUCCCCCAGCCAGCCACUGCCAUCGGCAACCCGCCCCGGGUCCUGGGAGAUGGAGCUGAGAGGAAGCUCUGGACCAACCCAAGAGCUGGAUGCAGGAACUUGACCACAGGGGGCUCAGGGAGCAAAGAGCCCUCUCGGCAAAUCCCAUAGAGGGAAGGAACGGGGUCUUCCAGGCCAUGCUGUCCCCUGCCCAUUCUCUGCCCUAAACCUUCUCCAGAGCCACCUCCCACCACAGACACAGAAAGGGAGACGCGGGAAUGGACACAAAGGGCCCGUUCCCACAUGAUGCCCCGUCCCCAAGCCCAGGUACCUGCACGAUGGUGUCCAGGUUUUGCCGGGACGUGGAAACAGAGUUGAUGACCGAGGAGGGGCCCAUGGUGACAACGUUGAUGUGGUGGGAGGGAGGGGGUGGU
Leptonychotes weddellii (Weddell seal) is the source of this 597-nucleotide long non-coding RNA. RefSeq lists it as uncharacterized. NCBI's taxonomy places the organism in Eukaryota, Metazoa, Chordata, Mammalia, Carnivora, Phocidae. The record is from RefSeq and is a predicted model, not a curated record.